This 673-nucleotide ribosomal RNA is filed under the name uncultured Micromonospora sp. RNAcentral describes it as "bacterial SSU rRNA". It matches the Rfam family "Bacterial small subunit ribosomal RNA", at positions 55 to 748 of the family's 1533-position model. Lineage: Bacteria; Bacillati; Actinomycetota; Actinomycetes; Micromonosporales; Micromonosporaceae. The record is from RNAcentral.
AUGCAGUCGAGCGGAAGGCCCUUCGGGGUACUCGAGCGGCGAACGGGUGAGUAACACGUGAGCAACCUGCCCUAGGCUUUGGGAUAACCCCGGGAAACCGGGGCUAAUACCGAAUAGGACCUUCUGCCGCAUGGCGGAGGGUGGAAAGUUUUUCGGCCUGGGAUGGGCUCGCGGCCUAUCAGCUUGUUGGUGGGGUGAUGGCCUACCAAGGCGACGACGGGUAGCCGGCCUGAGAGGGCGACCGGCCACACUGGGACUGAGACACAGCCCAGACUCCUACGGGAGGCAGCAGUGGGGAAUAUUGCACAAUGGGCGGAAGCCUGAUGCAGCGACGCCGCGUGAGGGAUGACGGCCUUCGGGUUGUAAACCUCUUUCAGCAGGGACGAAGCGUAAGUGACGGUACCUGCAGAAGAAGCGCCGGCCAACUACGUGCCAGCAGCCGCGGUAAGACGUAGGGCGCGAGCGUUGUCCGGAUUUAUUGGGCGUAAAGAGCUCGUAGGCGGCUUGUCGCGUCGACUGUGAAAACCCGCAGCUCAACUGCGGGCCUGCAGUCGAUACGGGCAGGCUAGAGUUCGGUAGGGGAGACUGGAAUUCCUGGUGUAGCGGUGAAAUGCGCAGAUAUCAGGAGGAACACCGGUGGCGAAGGCGGGUCUCUGGGCCGAUACUGACGCUG